UGGUUCUGGCAUCGAUGAAGAACGCAGCGAAAUGCGAUAAGUAAUGCGAAUUGCAGAAUUUCCGUGAGUCAUCGAAUCUUUGAACGCACAUUGCGCCCUCUGGUAUUCCGGGGGGCAUGCCUGUUCGAGCGUCAUUAUCAACCCUCAAGCCUGGCUUGGUGUUGGACGGGGUCGUGAGAACGACCGGUCCCAAAGACAAUGACGGCGUCUGUUGGACCCUCGGUGCAAUGAGCUUUCACGAGCACGCACCCGAGUUUCAAGGACCUCCAGCCCGGUCUCCUAGAACGUUUGGUUCUACUUCUCAGGUUGACCUCGGAUCAGGCAGGGUUACCCGCUGA
RNAcentral lists this unclassified non-coding RNA (338 nucleotides) under uncultured fungus. RNAcentral's name for it is "partial contains 5.8S ribosomal RNA and internal transcribed spacer 2". The stretch from base 1 to 134 matches the Rfam family "5.8S ribosomal RNA", at positions 22 to 154 of the family's 154-position model. Lineage: Eukaryota; Fungi. The record is from RNAcentral.